This is a long non-coding RNA of Topomyia yanbarensis, 5526 nucleotides long. RefSeq lists it as uncharacterized. The record is from RefSeq and is a predicted model, not a curated record. Lineage: Eukaryota; Metazoa; Arthropoda; Insecta; Diptera; Culicidae. The transcript is spliced from 3 exons.
GAUGAUGGCGCCACUGGUAUAUGCAAAAAUGUGCUACAACCAGUACAAAAACGUUCCCAGGCUGAAGGGAUAACCCACUAACAAAUGAGUGUUUGGGACUGUGUAUUAAAGGUAGAGCUAGUGUUCUGGGCGGCGGAUCGAUUUUUUGGAGCAAUUUCCUCUGUCUGUUAGCCUGUGGAUAUUAUGUCAAACAUCUAUAGUAAGCAACGAGAGUUGCGCAAGAAUCAGCCCCCGACAGAUUCUCAGUGCCGGAUCUAUCUGUGAUUCAGGAGGAGAUCGAAUGGUUGAAGAAUAAAGUACGAUUCACACGAUACAUCAGGCUUCCAUCUUCGAUACGGAACGUCAAGAUUAGUUACAUGCAGUUAAAUGGAGGCAUUUACAUACAACAUAAACGGCACGGAACGUUUUGACGUACGUCACGUGUGAACGGGCACACGAGAAACAUUUAACUAAUCCUGACGGAACGGUGACGUUCCGUUGACGGAUACCGAUGUAUCGUCUGAAUCGUCCUUAAUGAAUCCGCUGGUAAUGGUCAACUGCCAUAUGAGCGGCCCAAACAGAAGAAAGACAUUAGUAAGAACACUCCGCUGGGAAGAUCUGCGAGGAAGAGAUGUUAUCGGAGGGUUGGAUAUUUUAAAUAUAUUUAUAGUUGGGACUAUGGUCGCAUUUGAAAUUAUGGCGCCACUGAUAUACAAUCAUAUGAGGAAUAGAUAACUAGUGAAAAAUUGUUCCCAAGUCUGAGGGAUAAUCCAAUAAGUGUUUGGGACCGUAAAUAAAAGGUGGAGCUAGUGUUCUGGGAAAAUCGCUGGAGGGAACACUUGAAGGAAUUCCCUCAUAGUGUUAUGUCUGUUAGUCUCUGCUAAAAUAUUGAAAUGCACUACACGGUAAACUGGAUAUACCUAGAAAAUUGGUAGUGACGUAGUACCAAAAAAGGAGUACAAAUUACCUAUUAAUAGGUUCCAAUUCCUAUAAUAUUUAUCUAUUUCUCGGUAAUAUUCGUUCACAUUUGAUUAACAAUUACCUAAUUUUAGAUGGUUUCAAGUUACCUACUGGUGGGUAUGUGCAGUUUUGUGGAAUUUAGGUACUAUUUACUUAUGCUGAUUUCGGUUUAAGAUCAGAGUCGCCCUAGGUUCGCCCUAAUAUUUACAAAAUCCAUACAAAAGUGACAGCUCAGAGCGAACCUAGAGCGACUCGAUUCUGAAAAUCAAAUCAACAUUAGGCAUCCAGAAAAGUGCACGAACUUAGAAGUGGGUAUAUUCACUCUACCUAAACUAGGUGAUUACGAAUCAAUUAUAAAUACCUUGUACAUGAAAAAGAAUACAUAUUAUAGAGAUUUCCACCUAUUAGUACAUAUUUUUCGCGCCAAAGUCAUAUGUAAAGUUCAUACCUUACGACUCAAUAGCAUGGCAAUGAACAUUCAAUGGAGAAAUAUGUCAUAUUCACGUAGAAUUUGUUUGAAUUCAAUUUGAAACACCACAUAAAAUGCGUUUUAAUGGUCUUCCAUGCGAAAUUCAAACGAAAAUCAUUGAUUUUACUUUUCAGCAUCUAAACGGACUUGAAAGAGUGUUUAAUUGCCUAUGGUUUUAUCGUUUGGAUUAUUUUCGGUGUAGGUAAAAAAAUUAACAAUCGCGUUGUCAAAUUUAACAAGCAAAUGGGCCUUAUAACAAAAUAUAAUCGAGCUUGCCAGAUUAGCUUUUAUAAAUGAUAAAAUCGAUGUUGUCAAAAAUCAACGUAAAAAGAUCAGAUAAAAAAUCGUUUUUAGGUAAAAAGGACGAUUUAAAAAAAUAGCUCAUUUCUUAUGAACAUUUUGAGAGAAUAAUUAAUGUUUUUCAAUCAAAACGAUGAAGUCAAACAUCGAACCAGAAAGAUCGGAUGGAGAAAAUCGAUUCUUAUCGUUUUUUUAAAAAAAUUACAUCGACGUCACCCAUUCGUAAAUUCUGGCGGUAUUUCUUUUAUUUUGUAUAGUAAUUUGUAAGAUCUGUUGCCGAGAGUAGCAAUCGGCGUAAUUAUAAUUGAUAAAAAGUAACAAAUUUGAUUCACUGUCAAUCCUAGCAAAUUCAGAAACCAGUUAAUUGUUUUGACGUAGGACUACGUCUUUGUUUUCGAUAUGGGAGUGCACUCUGCAAAUUCUACAAAAAUGGUAUGUAACGAAAAGUGGUCCAAUUUUAAACGCAUAUAUUUCAGCCAUCUCACGAUAAAUUUUCAAAUUUUUUACGCAGAGCGCCCCGAAAUACUUCUAAGAAUAGAUUCCAAUAGAUAAACCCAAAGAUUUUUGAUAUCAUAGCAUUAAAAAAUUAAAUAAUAUACAACCUUGUCAAAAUAUCGCGCAUUAACACACAGAAGAAAGCGCUUCCCAAGCCCUGUACGACGGAUUGGUGUACUUAGCGCGCAACGCUGCUAUGAAUGACGUCAUCAUCGACUAUUUAAAGAACGGACUUGGCCAGACACGCUCAAUUCCCUGUUGAACGGCUGGCGAAGCAGAUCACUGCGCUGUGUUUUUUACAGCCAGUGUAGCUGAGCUAGAAGUCCGUUACACUGGCUGUGGGGGGACGCUACACUGUGUCGUCCAACAGGCGACCGCUCCAACUGCUUCCUAAAUGCCGUUGUAAUGUUGCCAGUAAAUUUUUGGUUUAACUAGCACAUGUAUUUGCUAUUUGCGCUUGAAAUUAAGUAAUGUAGUGGUAGUAAUAAGCUUCCCAUUUUGGUUUAAACGCAAGGACAGUUUUUAAAACAGGAUUUGAUUAAUUAGUUUAGCUUAUCUAAGCAAUUUUAUCAAUUCUGUAAUUUAAAAGGAAUUUUACGGAACUUGGUGAAUUUGGACCCACUUGCAACUGGUAUAAUCAACCUGCACAAAGUGUUGCAUAACGCAGGGCACAAAAUGUGUUAUCAUUCAGCCCUUCGCUAUGCAAAAUCACGAUAUUAUGACAUGGGCUAAGCGCGGCCGUUCCAUUCAAUCGGGAAAGGCCGCGUGGAAUUUUGGUGAAAUGCGCUAAUAGUGUCGUGGUGGUACUAGUUGUCUCUUUCGCUCUACCCAUCAUCAUCAGCAUUGACUCAUUUUGCAUUGUGCGCUUGAUUUCAAUGUUUGUGGCGAAUGUGUUGGUAGGUAGGGGAACUGGCGGUAAAAUGAAGACGUUAAGCAAAGUCAUUAUUUUCUAACUAAUAAGUGAAUGAGAUAAUACAAUCACCUUAUGUUUCUUGUUAGACAUGUUUUGUACAUAUCUGGUAAAAAUACUUUGUCAUAAACACAUUUUUUCAAACAUGAUUCUUGAUUUCUAAACAUGUCCAAAAAUGAGACAUGUUUAUAGCGAGUGGGUAAAAUGAACAUAUGGCGGUGGUAAAAUGAACAGCUUCUGGUGACCUGCAAAAUGUCCUGUAUGUAUGCAAUGCGCAGCGUUGGAAAGCAUUUUCCGAUCAAUACUAAUAUUCCAGCAAAUCAUGAGCUUUGCAUACACACAGGGCAUUUUGCAGGCAAAAAAAAUGUCACGGAAGAAUUGAAUUUUCAUGACGUAAUAUUAAAGUUGGACAGCGAAAGGGUAAAAUUCGCAAACGAAAAAAGCAGUUUUUUUCCACGCCGUAUGUCAGAUCUUCAUAAAAAUCAAUCAGCAGUACUGUAACAACAUUCUACAUACGCUGAUUGAUUUUUAUGAAGAUCUGACAUACGGCGUGGAAUAAAAAACUGCUUUUUUCGUUUUCGAAUUUUGCGCAUUCUCUGUCCAACCUUAACCAUUUUACAAUCCUGUGGCAUCGAAACACAUCUACAAACUUGGGGUUAUCCAUGGGUGUUUGAACUUUUAGGAUCUGUUUGAGAGCAACUAGGAAGCUUGUUCUAUACAUGAGAUGUGAUUAUAUUGUCUAAAAUUUGAUUUUUCUUCACCAGUCCGGGUGUUUUUUCUAACACACUAAGUACUAAGAAAAUAAAUAUUUUACAUUAAGUAGUAUAGUCCUACGUCUACAGUUCGUGCAACCCCAUAGGGCUGCCCCUUGUAGUUUUUCUUAACGAUGAGGCACAUGCGUAGAGAUUUUGCGAGCUAAGUACCUAAAAAGGAUACGCGCGUCAGGAUAGAGGAAGAAAGCAGAAUAGGCAAACCUUAAUUGCAUAGGAGAAAGGGACUUCAUCCGCUGACUCAUAUAGACGCCGAAAGAAGGGAUAAAGAUAGGGAUUCUACUCGCCCGCACCAAGUAGUUGCCAAAAGAGGAAGGGAAUAGAUAAUCCGCCUGCCCGUAUAUUGCACGUAGGUAGUCUAGCACCAAGCGACGCUAUGGAAAGUUUCAGCAGUGGAAAGUUUCCACUAUGAAUUGUGUACCUAGAUUAUAAGAAAUUUGUAUAUAUAUCCCGUAGGAAUAAGGAAAUACAUCUGCAUUCGCUAGCAACCAUCAGUUCAGCAGUCGAAAGUCCGAACUAGUCGUCGUGUGAUUUUGGAAAAAGAGAGCAAAAAAUGGAUAUGUAUGACAGUUUUUCCGAUGAAGAUGUUCAUGAUGUUCAAAAGGAUAGUUUCCGCGAAGUGGAGUACCUAAAUUCGACAAGUUCGGAGAAUGAAUCUGAAGCCUCGCAGCAGCCAACUAGAAAGCGACGAAGGAUCGAUAAGGCGGGAGAGCUUGAUACUGCUUUUGUUUCUUUGUUGGCUGAAUUUGCACCGGUGUUGCUGGAAAAGUCACAGACUCCAUCUAUGAAGGCAAAAAAAGGGGCAGCUUUGAAAAAAUUAUCCAACGAGCUUGUUCUUCGGUAUGGAUUGGAAUUAACAGACAAACAAAUUUAUGAAAAGGUACACAAUUUGAAAAAUCGCGUGAAGUCAAAAACAGAUCUAAAGAAAACAGGAAACAAGAAAAUUAUGUUGAAUGAUGCGGAGCAGAAGUUUUACGAAUUAUUGGGCGGUACCGACAAUCCAGCUAUAUCGAAAAGAUCAUAUUUCUAUUGGAACAGACGAUUCACAAGAAGCAGGACCUUCCAAUGAACCACUACCCAGUUCUGCUAGCACUUCAACGCCCGUGGUCACGCCGAGUACAUCUCGUGCGACGCGUACAAGCACACCACGGGUAAGAAAAUUCUAUUGGAACAGACGAUUCACAAGAAGCAGGACCUUCCAAUGAACCACUACCCAGUUCUGCUAGCACUUCAACGCCCGUGGUCACGCCGAGUACAUCUCGUGCGACGCGUACAAGCACACCACGGGUAAGAAAAUAUUUCCCAUACAUUUUGAUAUUCUUUUAAAGCCUAACGAAAAAAAGUAUUAGUUGAAAAUAACAGUAGCAAAUAACUUUAUCAAACUAUUUCACUUUUCACUUCUUCCAGAUAUCGCAAAGUGAAUUGAUAGAGCUGCAAAACACGGUACUGCGAGAGCAGCUGAGUUUAAUUCGCACACAGGACAAUUUAAUUCGUCAACAGCAAGAAUUGAACAUUCAACAACAAAGUGAGCGGCAUGCGGAAGAAAUAAAACUGCUGAAAAUGAAGCAAGAAAUUGCUUCUCUAAAGUUGAGUUUGCUGAAAAACGGAGAGCCAAGCGAUAACUAGUGAUUUCAGAUAUAUAA